GAUUGAACGCUGGCGGCAUGCCUUACACAUGCAAGUCGAACGGCAGCACGGGAGCAAUCCUGGUGGCGAGUGGCGAACGGGUGAGUAAUAUAUCGGAACGUGCCCAGUCGUGGGGGAUAACGCAGCGAAAGCUGUGCUAAUACCGCAUACGAUCUCUGGAUGAAAGCGGGGGACCGCAAGGCUUCGCGCGAUUGGAGCGGCCGAUAUCAGAUUAGCUAGUUGGUGGGGUAAAAGCCCACCAAGGCGACGAUCUGUAGCUGGUCUGAGAGGACGACCAGCCACACUGGAACUGAGACACGGUCCAGACUCCUACGGGAGGCAGCAGUGGGGAAUUUUGGACAAUGGGCGCAAGCCUGAUCCAGCAAUGCCGCGUGCAGGAUGAAGGCCUUCGGGUUGUAAACUGCUUUUGUACGGAACGAAACGGUCUGCCCUAAUACGGUGGACUAAUGACGGUACCGUAAGAAUAAGCACC
Molecule: ribosomal RNA, 472 nt
Filed under: uncultured bacterium
Lineage: Bacteria
Description: bacterial SSU rRNA
Rfam family: Bacterial small subunit ribosomal RNA
Source: RNAcentral